ACGGAGGGUGCAAGCGUUAUCCGGAUUUACUGGGUUUAAAGGGUGCGUAGGUGGGUAGGAAAGUCAGUGGUGAAAUCUUCAAGCUUAACUUGGAAACUGCCAUUGAUACUAUUUAUCUUGAAUACUCUGGAGGUAAGCGGAAUAUGUCAUGUAGCGGUGAAAUGCUUAGAUAUGACAUAGAACACCAAUUGCGAAGGCAGCUUACUACAUAGUUAUUGACACUGAGGCACGAAAGCGUGGGGAUCAAACAGGAUUAGAUACCCUGGUAGUCCACGCCCUAAACGAUGGAUACUCGACAUUAGCGAUACACAGUUAGUGUCUGAGCGAAAGCAUUAAGUAUCCCACCUGGGAAGUACGAUCGCAAGAUUG
Molecule: ribosomal RNA, 369 nt
Filed under: uncultured bacterium
Lineage: Bacteria
Description: bacterial SSU rRNA
Rfam family: Bacterial small subunit ribosomal RNA
Source: RNAcentral